RNAcentral lists this ribosomal RNA (574 nucleotides) under Bacillus subtilis. RNAcentral describes it as "bacterial SSU rRNA". It matches the Rfam family "Bacterial small subunit ribosomal RNA", at positions 8 to 564 of the family's 1533-position model. The record is from RNAcentral. Lineage: Bacteria; Bacillati; Bacillota; Bacilli; Caryophanales; Bacillaceae.
AGAGUUUGAUCCUGGCUCAGGACGAACGCUGGCGGCGUGCCUAAUACAUGCAAGUCGAGCGGACAGAUGGGAGCUUGCUCCCUGAUGUUAGCGGCGGACGGGUGAGUAACACGUGGGUAACCUGCCUGUAAGACUGGGAUAACUCCGGGAAACCGGGGCUAAUACCGGAUGGUUGUUUGAACCGCAUGGUUCAAACAUAAAAGGUGGCUUCGGCUACCACUUACAGAUGGACCCGCGGCGCAUUAGCUAGUUGGUGAGGUAACGGCUCACCAAGGCAACGAUGCGUAGCCGACCUGAGAGGGUGAUCGGCCACACUGGGACUGAGACACGGCCCAGACUCCUACGGGAGGCAGCAGUAGGGAAUCUUCCGCAAUGGACGAAAGUCUGACGGAGCAACGCCGCGUGAGUGAUGAAGGUUUUCGGAUCGUAAAGCUCUGUUGUUAGGGAAGAACAAGUACCGUUCGAAUAGGGCGGUACCUUGACGGUACCUAACCAGAAAGCCACGGCUAACUACGUGCCAGCAGCCGCGGUAAUACGUAGGUGGCAAGCGUUGUCCGGAAUUAUUGGGCGUAAA